CUCGUCAGGCACUCUUCUUGGCUGCUGUGGUUAUUAUUAUAUUUACAUGCUUCCAGCUCCCGUUUUUGCUCGAUGACAGCUCGGACUUUUCCUUUCUCUCCCUCCCUCGCUCACAGACACAUAACGGUGUCGAGGGUCGUUCCCACCAGUGAUGCGAAUAUUGAUGAGGUGUCGUCAGGAUGGGACUGAGGACACAACCCUGUGGAACGCCAAUGUUAGUACCAAUGCUGGCUGAAGACCUGAGGCCGAUCCUGACGGACUGGGGCCUGCCAGUCAAAAAGUCCCAUAGCCAGUCACAUAGGGUGGCGUGUAGGCUGAGUGUUGCCAGCUUGGUCUGCAAGGUCUGGAGGGUCUCGAAGCGGGUGUAGAAUCGACUGAGGUCAUCCAGCAGACUGCCUGCAGAGCUGGUGGUGCUGAUGGCGGCCCUGUACUCUGUGCUGUGCUGUAAGCCUUGCCACAUCUGCCUGGGGUCAGCAGAAGAGUAGAAGUCAUCCAGCUUCUCUUUAUACUGCCUCUUAGCUGCUGUAAUAGCUUUCCUCAGUCCAGCUGCGUACUCGGUCUCAUUGCCUGAUGUAAAUGCAAGAGACCGAGUACGCAGCAUGUGUCAUACCUGACUGUUGAUCCAGGGUCUGGUUGGGGAAAGACUGCAGCAGUGCAGGAGUUGGGUUAUUGGUCUUUAAUAAAGUCCCACAGAAGAGUUGUUUGCAGCAAAGUGCUUGCCAGGCGGUGCAGCAAUAACUGAACUCAUUGUUUUAUCGUUUACGUGACAUAGAUAACUAUGAUCACAAUACAGUAACUCCAUCUUCUCCACACAACAAUAUCUCACAAUGUCCACAAGGGGUCGCUGUAGACCGUAGAUAAGCUUUUUAACACGUGUCUUACAAGUUGCUCAUAUUAAGGCACAAAUACGGUAAAACUAUCAGCAGUUAAACUAAACAGUCGAACAGUCCUUUAACUAAUACAGCUGGAUGUUAUUAUUGUGGGGAUUAUGGCCACUGCUAUUAGAGCUAAAUAUCUUACCAACACAGUCUCAAAGUACUGAGACAUUUAAUCUUAACAUGCACGAACAAUUAUAACCAGAAUCAUUAUAAUUAACCUGACAAAGAAAUAACAACUCAGUCACACCAUGAAGUGAAAUAUGUGAAGUCCAGAAACGACUGAUUGGAUAUAUGAUUAUAAAAACAGCUGUAGUGCACAUAUACUUUCUGCUUUUCUGUUCUGGAUAGUCUUGAGGGACCUGAGGAGACACUAAUUAUGUGUUUUGGACCUCUGACAUUUAACAAGAGGAUUUUUUUUGCUCCAGUUUCUGAAACAUGUUGAUGUUUAUUUAAUUCAUACAUAAUUCACCUACUUGCUGCAUACAAUUCUACUACUGCACAUAAUGUCCCCAUGUAUAUAUUCUUAAUGUAAAUAAUGUUCUUCUCUCCCUCUUUUGCACAGUCGAGAAGCGUGUCAGGAUACAUUUCACUGC
Long non-coding RNA from Oreochromis aureus, 1471 nucleotides. The record is from Ensembl. Lineage: Eukaryota; Metazoa; Chordata; Actinopteri; Cichliformes; Cichlidae.